This 484-nucleotide ribosomal RNA is filed under the name uncultured bacterium. Its description in RNAcentral is "partial 16S ribosomal RNA". It matches the Rfam family "Bacterial small subunit ribosomal RNA", at positions 29 to 507 of the family's 1533-position model. The record is from RNAcentral.
AUUGAACGCUGGCGGCAUGCUUUACACAUGCAAGUCGAACGGCAGCGCGGGCUUCGGCCUGGCGGCGAGUGGCGAACGGGUGAGUAAUACAUCGGAACGUGCCCAGUAGUGGGGGAUAGCUCGGCGAAAGCCGGAUUAAUACCGCAUACGACCUGAGGGUGAAAGCGGGGGAUCUUCGGACCUCGCGCUAUUGGAGCGGCCGAUGGCAGAUUAGCUAGUUGGUGGGGUAAAGGCCUACCAAGGCGACGAUCUGUAGCUGGUCUGAGAGGACGACCAGCCACACUGGGACUGAGACACGGCCCAGACUCCUACGGGAGGCAGCAGUGGGGAAUUUUGGACAAUGGGCGAGAGCCUGAUCCAGCAAUGCCGCGUGUGUGAUGAAGGCCUUCGGGUUGUAAAGCACUUUUGGCGGGAACGAAAAGGACUGUGCCAAUACCACGGUUCGAUGACGGUACCCGCAGAAUAAGCACCGGCUAACUACGUG